GUGAGUCAUCGAAUCUUUGAACGCACAUUGCGCCUUCUGGUAUUCCGGUAGGCAUAUCUGUUUGAGCGUCAGCAAAACCUCUCAGCAUUAAUUUGUUGGUACUGGGCGAGAGGGUAGGCUUCCGGGCCACCUCUCGCUUUAAACUUGCUGUACGACCGCAAGCUACUACUGCUCGGUUCAUGAAGUUUGGUAUUUACAUAUUAUUUUCAUAGCUUGGUGUUGGCGAACGGCGUUAAACCCGAUGCUGCUUAUCUGCAGCUGAAGUUUGACCUCAAAUCAGAUAAGGAUACCCGCUGAACU
Molecule: unclassified non-coding RNA, 300 nt
Filed under: uncultured fungus
Lineage: Eukaryota; Fungi
Description: sequence contains 5.8S rRNA gene, ITS2
Rfam family: 5.8S ribosomal RNA (bases 1-71)
Source: RNAcentral